AAUUAAUUAAUUACAUCGCCAAUUUGUUGUUCUACAUAGUUGAGAGUCUCCUCCAACUCCAUAACCCAGAGUCGUAGAGAGUCUAAAAAGAGAUACAAAGAAAUGGGUUUUCUAAAAUCAAUGGAGGAUAAAUACCCUUUACUCGAUUCCAUCUUCCAGGAGUUUUGUGGGUCUCGUGGCAUUUACACUGUGGAAGAUUUCUUGAUUCAUGACCUCAAUGCCUUGAUUUUAUCUGCUGAAAAGAAACCAACUUCAGAGAGAUUAAAGCAGGGAAUUGAUCAACUUCUCUCUAUAGUCAAUGGUAUUCAUAAACCCUGGUUGAAUGGCGUCGAGUUAUUGAAUGAUGCUCAACAAAAUAAACAGACAUUAUCCCUUGCAUAUGAAGGGAUUGAUCCUUUUCUUCACGGGGCGUUAAGAGAGGGGUUUGUAACAGAACUAGUCGGACCAUCAUCAUCGGGUAAAACACAGGUUUGUCUUCAAGCCGCUGCAAGUGUUGCGAAGCGUUAUGCAGAUCGUGUUGCAUAUAUAGACUCUGGGAACUCCUUUUCUGCACCACGGAUUGCACACCUUGUCAAAAGAGCUUCAUAUUCUGCUCCGAAACAGGACAAUAAUGAAGCCCUACAUAUAAUCAUGAAGAACAUAUGGUGUUAUCCAGUAUUUGAUAUUUUUUCAUUGUUCGAUGUGCUACAUCAACUGGAAUUGAAAUUGAAAAGUCAGAUAUUUUCAGCGCGGCUGCUCAUUGUGGACUCUUUUUCAUCUCUCAUUAUUCCUCUUCUUGGAGGCAAUGGUCCUUAUGGACACGCUCUAAUGAUUUCUGCUGGAAAUUUGCUAAAGAAGAUAGCGCAUGAAUACAACAUUUGUGUACUGGUAAUAAUCAGUAAACCUGAUCCCAAUAUCUUAGGUGACGAAUCACAUGGUGGCUGGUGAAGGUGGUUCACCAAAACCAGCUCUUGGAGAAAGUUGGAAAAACGCCGUGCAUGUGAGGCUCCUCCUCUCUCGUGAUCAAGAGACCAACAUUUGCACUAGUACUGUUGUUAGACACCCAUCCGUGGCUGCUGGGAAUCAAGUGAAGUUCAAGAUUUGUGAUAGUUAGACUUCUUUUAACUCGGAAGUGAGUGCAUGACUUAUGAGGUGAGCUUAUCUAGGGUCAUUGAUAGAGAAAACUAUUGUAGUAAUAUGAUUUGAGUAAUGAGUAGUAAAGCUCAUACUCUGAUAGACCUACAUAAUCAGCUAUAGAUGAUUUGGUUAAUCAUAAACUUGUCUGUUAUAAGUUUAUAACUGUUGGGUGACCUUCAACUUAUGUCCGCAGCUUUUCCAGUACUGCCACAUGUACGGGUAGUUUUAAGCCGUUAACUGAUAUUAGAAACAUUAGAGAAAAAGGCGGUAUAACAUGAAUGUCCUUACCAGAGUAGCUUAUUUCUACACCUUAGUCUGUGCCUACGUAUGGUUUCUUAUGGCGUGGUUGGUUUCAUAUUGGAUCUUUUCAAUUCUGAGUUUAUAAGACUGAGUGGUAUACAGGGGUGGAGAGUCUAGGGGUUCUAGUUCCAAGGCUAUGGGGGUUGUUGCCUUGUUAGUAAGUAUAAAAUUUGUGCAGGAAACCGGAAAAACCUCUGUUGAGUCACUUGUACGUGAGGGCAUCGAGUCACAAGCAGAAGGGACUCUCUUUGUGGUAAUGAGCCAAAAAUCCCAUGUGUCUACUUUGAUUUUAGGUCCUCGAGUUUUGCGAGAUUCAAGUCUCAGCCACAGGUGCAUUGGAUUUCGCAUGUGAAAGAUGUUCAUUCCUUCCACAAGUUCCAUCACAGUUUGGGCUACAUAUAUGUGCACGAGUUGCAACGGAAUGUGGCCACCGAUACUCCUCUUGAUGUUCAUCUCCGUAGUUCGACCACCACUCGCUGAAAGCUGAUCACAAAGACCAUAUGCAAAAUAUGUUUUUUCAGUUUGCACUUCCAAUGCCAGAUUAUGAUGAAUUUCGACAAUCCAGAUCCCUCAAAUGUGCAGCUCAUUACAAGCUUUUGCUUUGCUUUUAACAAGAGCUCAAUGUAGUGGUCAAUUCUCUGUUUAGUGUGUACUGGUGUAUCGUCUAUGAACUUUCAUUCAACCAAUAUCAAAUAUAAAAAACCACAUACACUUACUGAGAUGUUUUUUUUAGUAAUGAAACGAAUCUGUGUUAUUUUCAUAUUUUAACUAGAGUAUUUUUGAAUA
Beta vulgaris subsp. vulgaris (sugar beet) is the source of this 2202-nucleotide RNA transcript. It is a transcript of the gene named DNA repair protein RAD51 homolog 4, with no coding region annotated. The transcript is spliced from 10 exons. The record is from RefSeq and is a predicted model, not a curated record. Lineage: Eukaryota; Viridiplantae; Streptophyta; Magnoliopsida; Caryophyllales; Amaranthaceae.